Molecule: non-coding RNA, 144 nt
Organism: Gossypium raimondii (Peruvian cotton)
Lineage: Eukaryota; Viridiplantae; Streptophyta; Magnoliopsida; Malvales; Malvaceae
Source: Rfam
UAGUAAAAAAUUCAUUCAUUUCUAGGUUAAAAAUUGGCGUUGCUGAUAAAAUAACCAGACAGUUACACAUGACGUGCCAUGUGUACCUCAUUCUGAUAUAUAAAGACCAAUUUUUAAAGGUAGAAAUGAAUAAAAAUUUUAACA